This 62-nucleotide transfer RNA is filed under the name Hedychium sp. RHT65124. Its description in RNAcentral is "partial tRNA-Phe". The record is from RNAcentral. Lineage: Eukaryota; Viridiplantae; Streptophyta; Magnoliopsida; Zingiberales; Zingiberaceae.
CCGGAUACCAAAGUUGGUAGAGCAGAGGACUGAAAAUCCUCGUGUCAAAGUUUUAAAAUAAA